This is a non-coding RNA of Pelobates cultripes (western spadefoot toad), 168 nucleotides long. The record is from the annotation of a GenBank genome assembly. Lineage: Eukaryota; Metazoa; Chordata; Amphibia; Anura; Pelobatidae.
GCUGACACAUUCUAGCCAAUCAGCAGCAGACCCUCCCUCCCAGACCCUCCCACCUCCUGGACAGCUCACUAAGAAUGCAGCUUCACAAUGAAUGUAAAAUGGAUGCUGUCCAGGAGGUGGGAGGGUCUGGGAGGGAGGGUCUGCUGCUGAUUGGCUGGAAUGUGUCUG